This 440-nucleotide ribosomal RNA is filed under the name uncultured bacterium. RNAcentral describes it as "partial 16S ribosomal RNA". It matches the Rfam family "Bacterial small subunit ribosomal RNA", at positions 338 to 795 of the family's 1533-position model. The record is from RNAcentral.
CCUACGGGAGGCAGCAGUGGGGAAUAUUGCACAAUGGGGGGAACCCUGAUGCAGCGACGCCGCGUGAGUGAAGAAGUAUUUCGGUAUGUAAAGCUCUAUCAGCAGGGAAGAAAAUGACGGUACCUGACUAAGAAGCCCCGGCUAACUACGUGCCAGCAGCCGCGGCAAUACGUAGGGGGCAAGCGUUAUCCGGAUUUACUGGGUGUAAAGGGAGCGUAGGCGGUUAUGCAAGUCUGAAGUGAAAGCCCCAGGCUCAACCAUGGGACUGCUUUGGAAACUGGAAGACUGGAGUGCAGGAGAGGUAAGCGGAAUUCGUAGUGUAGCGGUGAAAUGCGUAGAUAUUAGGAGGAACACCAGUGGCGAAGGCGGCUUACUGGACUGUAACUGACGUUGAGGCUCGAAGGCGUGGGGAGCAAACAGGAUUAGAUACCCGAGUAGUC